Molecule: unclassified non-coding RNA, 86 nt
Filed under: fungal sp.
Lineage: Eukaryota; Fungi
Description: partial internal transcribed spacer region
Rfam family: Eukaryotic small subunit ribosomal RNA (bases 1-46)
Source: RNAcentral
AAGUCGUAACAAGGUCUCCGUUGGUGAACCAGCGGAGGGAUCAUUAAAGAGUUGCAAAACUUUUAACAACGGAUCUCUUGGUUCUG